RNAcentral lists this non-coding RNA (111 nucleotides) under Apaloderma vittatum (bar-tailed trogon). Lineage: Eukaryota; Metazoa; Chordata; Aves; Trogoniformes; Trogonidae. The record is from RNAcentral.
UUAAACCAGUUACCUACAGCUGAUGAGCUCCGGAAAGAGCAAAACCAGUUCUGUUCUAUUUCAGCAGUUAUGAAUGCUAAGAACUGGUCCUGUAGUAAUGUUGAACAUCGA